GUCUCCUGUAUAAACUUCAUUGAGGUAGUGUCUUGUUCACUGCCAUAUUCCUAGGGACAAGUAAAGUUCCCUGUAUAUUGUAGGAGCUAAGUGUUGAAUGAAUGAAUGGUGGCUGCCAUUAUUGCUUCACCUUCACCCUCUAAGAGCAGUCUCCCCAUUCUGGUUUAUAGUUUCUGUGCUCACUGCUUGUGAUAAUCAUAAGUAUAUAUUGUUGAGAACAGUGCCUGUUUUCUCUUUCCCUGAAAGCACCUACUUUGACGUUGGCUGACAUAGUUCACUCAGCUGUCUCCUAACCACUGAUCCCUCUGUAUCACAGGUAUCUCGGGGGAGCUUUGUGCCUUGAUGGAUCAAGUUCAUCAUAUGCAGCACUCAAAAUGGCAGCAUCCUUCGGACCUCACCACGCGAAACUACGCCCGCCGACAGAAACAUCUGCAAAGAUACAGUCUGACUCAGUGGGUUGACAGGAACAUGCGAAGCCACCAUCGGUUCCAGCGUCUCCCAGACUUCUCGUACAGUUAACUUGUGUCAUCCCAUCAGCAAUGAAGGUCCCUAUCCAGGGUCCUGCUUGGAGCAGCAUUUCAUGUUCUUUUGCUGUUUUGUGCUUUGCCGAUUUUGGAUUUUAUUUUUCACAAGGUUUUUAUUUAAAAAACUCAUCACCUUUUGGAA
This 666-nucleotide small RNA is filed under the name Pongo abelii (Sumatran orangutan). Its description in RNAcentral is "retained intron". The record is from RNAcentral. Lineage: Eukaryota; Metazoa; Chordata; Mammalia; Primates; Hominidae.